CCACACCCGUCAGUUGGGAUGCUGUUUAGCAUCCACCCCAAUUCCCCUCCUCGUUUCUGUCAAGCUCGCCACUAGCUUCUUAUCUCUCUGUUUCUCCUGUCACUAAGGUACUGUGUAUAAUCGUGUGUAAUAUUGGUAAAUUGUAUUGCCCUACGUGUUAUGGGCCCGGCUGACGCCCACACGAUUAAAUACAAAAAUGGCAGAGAAUUCCGAGGGCAAACGUGAUUUCACCAAAUUCAAUGGAGUGAAUUUCCCGCAAUGGAAAUUUGCAGUCAUGCUGAAACUGAAGCAAAAGAAACUGGAUGGGAUAGUCCUGGGUUACGACAGGAAACCAAAUGAGGUAUGUCAAGAAAUGGAGGUAGAAAGAGUGAAGGUCACUGUGAUUACCAACCAGAAUGAAAUCGACACAUGGAUAGACAAGGACAUUAACGCACAAGGAAUCAUUUUCUACAACAUCGAACCGUCUU
Molecule: long non-coding RNA, 467 nt
Organism: Daphnia pulicaria
Lineage: Eukaryota; Metazoa; Arthropoda; Branchiopoda; Diplostraca; Daphniidae
Exons: 3
Source: RefSeq, a predicted model, not a curated record